Molecule: ribosomal RNA, 109 nt
Filed under: uncultured bacterium
Lineage: Bacteria
Description: partial 16S ribosomal RNA
Rfam family: Bacterial small subunit ribosomal RNA
Source: RNAcentral
GAUGCAGCGACGCCGCGUGGGCGAAGAAGUAUUUCGGUAUGUAAAGCCCUAUCAGCAGGGAAGAAGAAAUGACGGUACCUGAGUAAGAAGCACCGGCUAAAUACGUGCC